RNAcentral lists this ribosomal RNA (484 nucleotides) under uncultured bacterium. RNAcentral describes it as "partial 16S ribosomal RNA". It matches the Rfam family "Bacterial small subunit ribosomal RNA", at positions 30 to 507 of the family's 1533-position model. The record is from RNAcentral.
AUUGAACGCUGGCGGCAGGCCUAACACAUGCAAGUCGAGCGGAUGAAGGGAGCUUGCUCCUGGAUUCAGCGGCGGACGGGUGAGUAAUGCCUAGGAAUCUGCCUGGUAGUGGGGGAUAACGUCCGGAAACGGGCGCUAAUACCGCAUACGUCCUGAGGGAGAAAGUGGGGGAUCUUCGGACCUCACGCUAUCAGAUGAGCCUAGGUCGGAUUAGCUAGUUGGUGGGGUAAAGGCCUACCAAGGCGACGAUCCGUAACUGGUCUGAGAGGAUGAUCAGUCACACUGGAACUGAGACACGGUCCAGACUCCUAAGGGAGGCAGCAGUGGGGAAUACUGGACAAUGGGCGAAAGCCUGAUCCAGCCAUGCCGCGUGUGUGAAGAAGGUCUUCGGAUUGUAAAGCACUUUAAGUUGGGAGGAAGGGCAGUAAGUUAAUACCUUGCUGUUUUGACGUUACCAACAGAAUAAGCACCGGCUAACUUCGUG